This 324-nucleotide ribosomal RNA is filed under the name Klebsiella planticola. Its description in RNAcentral is "Raoultella planticola partial 23S ribosomal RNA". It matches the Rfam family "Bacterial large subunit ribosomal RNA", at positions 890 to 1212 of the family's 2925-position model. The record is from RNAcentral. RNAcentral also lists the same sequence under 3 other names. Lineage: Bacteria; Pseudomonadati; Pseudomonadota; Gammaproteobacteria; Enterobacterales; Enterobacteriaceae.
UCAUCUUCGGGGGUAGAGCACUGUUUCGGCUAGGGGGUCAUCCCGACUUACCAACCCGAUGCAAACUACGAAUACCGAAGAAUGUUAUCACGGGAGACACACGGCGGGUGCUAACGUCCGUCGUGAAGAGGGAAACAACCCAGACCGCCAGCUAAGGUCCCAAAGUCAUGGUUAAGUGGGAAACGAUGUGGGAAGGCACAGACAGCCAGGAUGUUGGCUUAGAAGCAGCCAUCAUUUAAAGAAAGCGUAAUAGCUCACUGGUCGAGUCGGCCUGCGCGGAAGAUGUAACGGGGCUAAACCAUGCACCGAAGCUGCGGCAGCGAC